RNAcentral lists this ribosomal RNA (443 nucleotides) under uncultured bacterium. RNAcentral describes it as "partial 16S ribosomal RNA". It matches the Rfam family "Bacterial small subunit ribosomal RNA", at positions 338 to 795 of the family's 1533-position model. The record is from RNAcentral.
CCUACGGGUGACUGCAGUGGGGAAUAUUGGGCAAUGGGCGCAAGCCUGACCCAGCAACGCCGCGUGAAGGAAGAAGGCUUUCGGGUUGUAAACUUCUUUUCUGAGGGACGAAGAAAGUGACGGUACCCCAGGAAUAAGCCACGGCUAACUACGUGCCAGCAGCAGCGGUAAUACGGAGGGGGCAAGCGUUAUCCGGAUUUAGUGGGUGUAAGGGUCGUGUAGGCGGGAAAGCAAGUCAGAUGUGAAAACUCAGGGCUCAACCCUGAGCCUGCAUUUGAAACUGUUUUUCUUGAGUGCUGGGGAGGCAAUCGGAAUUCCGGGUGUAGCGGUGAAAUGCGUAGAUAUACGGCGGAACACCAGUGGCGAAGGCGGAUUGCUGGACAGUAACUGACGCUGAGGCGCGAAAGCGUGGGGAGCAAACAGGAUUAGAUACCCGAGUAGUC